RNAcentral lists this small RNA (185 nucleotides) under Duganella sp. RNAcentral's name for it is "Manganese sequence". It matches the Rfam family "Manganese Mn2+ riboswitch aptamer (yybP-ykoY)". From Rfam's summary of the family: This RNA was originally discovered in E. coli during a large scale screen and was named SraF. Lineage: Bacteria; Pseudomonadati; Pseudomonadota; Betaproteobacteria; Burkholderiales; Oxalobacteraceae. The record is from RNAcentral.
UCGGCCGUAAGUGGGGAGUAGUCGGCUUGCGCCGCCCUGGCGCAGGAAUUUGCAUCAACAUCAUCGGUCCGCAGACCGUGGUGCAAAUGGUUGAAAAACUUGACGAGACCAUGAUCGAAGCGCGGCCAUCGUGGGCCGGGGACGCGCUUUGGAUCAUAGGUUCUUAUCGGCCGGCCCGCGCAUCU